CCCUUAGAUGUUCUGGGCCGCACACGCGCUACACUGAAGGAGGCAGCGUGUACUCCUGGAUCGAAAGAUUUGGGUAACCCGCGAAUCUCCCUCGUGCUAGGGAUUGAGGUUUGCAAUUAUCCUUCAUGAACGAGGAAUUCCCAGUAAGUGCAAGUCAUAAGCUUGCGCUGACUACGUCCCUGCCCUUUGUACACACCGCCCGUCGCUACUACCGAUUGAAUGAUUUAGUGAGGACUUCGGACUGGGACCGAUGCGGCUUUCGGGCUGCGUCGGUAUUCUGGAAAGAUGUCCAAACUGUAUCAUUUAGAGGAAGUAAAAGUCGUAACA
This 327-nucleotide ribosomal RNA is filed under the name uncultured eukaryote. RNAcentral's name for it is "partial 18S ribosomal RNA". It matches the Rfam family "Eukaryotic small subunit ribosomal RNA", at positions 1470 to 1796 of the family's 1831-position model. The record is from RNAcentral.